ACUCCUGGAAACUCAGUGCUGUCCUUCAGGCUGUGUGGGUCAGGGAUAGGAAGGCAGGAUGCCAGUGAUAGAUGGAGUAUCCCAGUUACUCUCCAUAGUAACCCUGUGAGGUUGGUAAUGAGGCCCCCAUUGGACAGAGGAAGAAACCGAGGCCCAGGGAUUACACAGCCAGUAGAGAGAGGACAGAGCAUGGAGCUCCUGGAGAGGCAGUGGAUAAUUCUUCCCGACAGAGGAGCUGACUGUUGAACCCCUUCUUUGAAGGAGAGUCCGUGCUGCCAAAUCGAAGAAGAGAAACGCCCUGGCUGGAAAGCAGAGAGAACAGCAGGUCAGAAAGUCUGCUCAGCAGUAGCUGUGGAUGGUAAGAAGACACGCUGUCGCAGGUUCGGCUCAGAAACUCCAGUGUCCCUCAGCGUCUCGCCGGCACCCUCUGCCGGCGUGAGGUGGCGCUGCCUGGCCGCAUCCUGGGGGAGCGUCCACAUCCUCGGUCGACAAAAGGAGCGUCGACACUCUCGGACCUGGGAAAGUGACGGCCCAAACGCCAGGGAGGAGCCAGGACCUCGCCCUGAGCUAGCGGGA
Molecule: long non-coding RNA, 576 nt
Filed under: Homo sapiens (human)
Lineage: Eukaryota; Metazoa; Chordata; Mammalia; Primates; Hominidae
Description: HSALNT0405719
Source: RNAcentral